AGAGUUUGAUCAUGGCUCAGAAUCAACGCUGGCGGCGUGCCUAACACAUGCAAGUCGAACGAGAAAGUGGAGCAAUCCAUGAGUAAAGUGGCGCACGGGUGAGUAACACGUGACUAACCUACCCUUGAGUGGGGAAUAACUUCGGGAAACCGAGGCUAAUACCGCAUAACACCUACGGGUCAAAGGAGCAAUUCGCUUAAGGAGGGGGUCGCGGCAGAUUAGUUAGUUGGCGGGGUAACGGCCCACCAAGACAGUGAUCUGUAUCCGGCCUGAGAGGGCGCACGGACACACUGGAACUGAAACACGGUCCAGACUCCUACGGGAGGCAGCAGUGGGGAAUUUUGCGCAAUGGGGGAAACCCUGACGCAGCAACGCCGCGUGGAGGAUGAAGUCCCUUGGGACGUAAACUCCUUUCGAUCGGGACGAUUAUGACGGUACCGGAAGAAGAAGCCCCGGCUAACUUCGUGCCAGCAGCCGCGGUAAUACGAGGGGGGCGAGCGUUGUUCGGAAUUAUUGGGCGUAAAGGGCGCGUAGGCGGCUGGAUAAGUCUUGUGUGAAAUCUUCGGGCUCAACUCGAAGUCUGCACAGGAAACUAUCCGGCUUGAGUGUGGGAGAGGUGAGUGGAAUUCCCGGUGUAGCGGUGAAAUGCGUAGAUAUCGGGAGGAACACCUGUGGCGAAAGCGGCUCACUGGACCACAACUGACGCUGAGGCGCGAAAGCUAGGGGAGCAAACAGGAUUAGAUACCCUGGUAGUCCUAGCCCUAAACGAUGAUCGCUUGGUGUGACGGGUACCCAAUCCCGCCGUGCCGAAGCUAACGCGUUAAGCGAUCCGCCUGGGGAGUACGGUCGCAAGGCUGAUACUCAAGGAAUUGACGGGGCCCGCACAAGCGGUGGGAGCAUGUGGUUUAAUUCGACGCAACGCGAGAACCUUACCUGGGCUCGA
Molecule: ribosomal RNA, 943 nt
Filed under: uncultured bacterium
Lineage: Bacteria
Description: bacterial SSU rRNA
Rfam family: Bacterial small subunit ribosomal RNA
Source: RNAcentral